AACGAGUUCUGAUUAUUGAAAGGUGCUUGCAUCUUGAUUUAAUUUUGAACGAGUGGCGGACGGGUGAGUAACACGUGGGUAACCUGCCCUUAAGUGGGGGAUAACAUUUGGAAACAGAUGCUAAUACCGCAUAAAUCCAAGAACCGCAUGGUUCUUGGCUGAAAGAUGGCGUAAGCUAUCGCUUUUGGAUGGACCCGCGGCGUAUUAGCUAGUUGGUGAGGUAACGGCUCACCAAGGCAAUGAUACGUAGCCGAACUGAGAGGUUGAUCGGCCACAUUGGGACUGAGACACGGCCCAAACUCCUACGGGAGGCAGCAGUAGGGAAUCUUCCACAAUGGACGCAAGUCUGAUGGAGCAACGCCGCGUGAGUGAAGAAGGCUUUCGGGUCGUAAAACUCUGUUGUUGGAGAAGAAUGGUCGGCAGAGUAACUGUUGUCGGCGUGACGGUAUCCAACCAGAAAGCCACGGCUAACUACGUGCCAGCAGCCGCGGUAAUACGUAGGUGGCAAGCGUUAUCCGGAUUUAUUGGGCGUAAAGCGAGCGCAGGCGGUUUUUUAAGUCUGAUGUGAAAGCCCUCGGCUUAACCGAGGAAGUGCAUCGGAAACUGGAAAACUUGAGUGCAGAAGAGGACAGUGGAACUCCAUGUGUAGCGGUGAAAUGCGUAGAUAUAUGGAAGAACACCAGUGGCGAAGGCGGCUGUCUGGUCUGUAACUG
Molecule: ribosomal RNA, 713 nt
Filed under: uncultured Bacilli bacterium
Lineage: Bacteria; Bacillati; Bacillota; Bacilli
Description: bacterial SSU rRNA
Rfam family: Bacterial small subunit ribosomal RNA
Source: RNAcentral